GAUCAACUCUAUGCUAAGGAGAUGUGUCGCGCUGCAUGAGGGAUCAUUUCCAAGGAAAUGCACAACCAAACACCAGCACCAGCACUGAGACCAGCACCCAGAACAGCGCCAGAACCGAUACCAGGACCAUAGCCACCCCCAGAACAACUGCUCCAACAGGGAGCUCAUAGACAUCAUAGAUGAGUAUCAACUAAAAGAUCUAGGCAGGGACGUGAUGCCUCGCUACACCUGGGUGAGCUCUGACGGCCAAUCAAACUCCAGGAUUGACCUCCUCCUCCUGGACCAGACCCUCACAGCAUCAGCAGGACCAACCCCGGAGACCAAAGCUGGAAGGACACCCUUGGCAAGGUGGAAAAAAAAUCUGUAGCUGGCAAGGGCGAUCCCUUUCGAUGACUGGGGAAGGGACUAGUGAUCAAAGCCAUCCUUUACCCGAUCCUGGCCUACAUAGACUCUCCGGGAUGGCUGCGGUGACCCUCCAGGGUAUCCUCUUCGGCCCACCUGAGGGACCUUGAACACCCCAAGAGAGGAACGCCUGGAGGAUCAUCAACGCCACAAAGCAGAUCAUAUGCGACACCAGAAAUACCUAAUUCUUCCACAAACGGGACACAUUCCCAAUUGUCACCGCCCGCAUAAUCCAAAAGUCCAACCAGGAUUACAUCACAGUGGACACUAACCGCCUGGGACAAGACACCACCAACAGCCACUGGAAGAUCACUGGACCGAAGGAUAUCAAAUACAUUUUAUUGGUCGCAUACACAUACUUAGCAGAUGUUAUUGCGGGUGUAGCAAAAUGAUUGUAAAUCACUUUCGCCCCGCCUAUCACCAUCCCUACGAACUCUGCACUGACCACCACGACCCCUAGCCCAAAUUCCCUCACCUCCAACUCAACAGAGGUAAGAAGCCGCCACCUUGCAUCCGACCCCUCAUUUAGCCGUGUGAAAUAAUGGAACUUCCAACCACCAUGACCGCCCUGCAGCUCCAAAGGAUCAGAACUCUUCACACCACAACAUCAUCUGAAGAAAUAACCUGGAGUUGUUUUCAUUACAUUUGCAAAUGCUUUACCCUGAAUCUUGCCCUCUUGUGGAGAACUGUUUGCAUUGUCAUUGUCUUUAGGAUUUUUUCAGCCCUUCACCUUUUCCCCCAUUGCCCCGCUAUUUGACCCACUGACCUAAUGCCACCCCUUUUCUAAGCCCCAGUUAAAAUAGUAUAUAUGUAGUGUUGCAUUAUGUUCUGUUGUCUUAGUUAUUUUUUUUUCUGUACAAAGGCCCUUCCCUAAGAACGUACCCGCCGUUUAGAAACCUUCUGAACCUCCCUGCCUUUUGUUUCUUUAACCCCAGAUUGCUAAAUGUUUCCUUGUCUGAAUGAUAGAACGUAACUGCCCCUACGUCAAUGAAUGCUAGUUAAUGUACUCACUGCCUUGUUGUAUGACUGUCUGCAAGUAUGUAAAUGUUUAAUGCUUUGAAAAGUAAAAUCAAAUCAAGUAGAUUUACUGGUUAAAUGUUUUGCAAAGUCCUUUUGGUCUGUUAUGCCCUGUAAUCAAAGCCAGUUUGGAAGCUUUUGUUAAGCCCUCUAGAAGUGCAAGUGAUAUAAAACACCAAAUAUGAAUAAAUACUGUAAAAUACAAAUACCUUACAACCAACCUGCUUG
Long non-coding RNA from Coregonus clupeaformis (lake whitefish), 1647 nucleotides. RefSeq lists it as uncharacterized. NCBI's taxonomy places the organism in Eukaryota, Metazoa, Chordata, Actinopteri, Salmoniformes, Salmonidae. The record is from RefSeq and is a predicted model, not a curated record. The transcript is spliced from 4 exons.